RNAcentral lists this ribosomal RNA (575 nucleotides) under uncultured bacterium. Its description in RNAcentral is "partial 16S ribosomal RNA". It matches the Rfam family "Bacterial small subunit ribosomal RNA", at positions 355 to 919 of the family's 1533-position model. The record is from RNAcentral.
UGGGGAAUUUUGACAAUGGGCGAAAGCCUGAUCCAGCAAUGCCGCGUGUGUGAAGAAGGCCUUCGGGUUGUAAAGCACUUUUGUCCGGAAAGAAAUCCUUGGCUCUAAUACAGUCGGGGGAUGACGGUACCGGAAGAAUAAGCACCGGCUAACUACGUGCCAGCAGCCGCGGUAAUACGUAGGGUGCAAGCGUUAAUCGGAAUUACUGGGCGUAAAGCGUGCGCAGGCGGUUUGCUAAGACCGAUGUGAAAUCCCCGGGCUCAACCUGGGAACUGCAUUGGUGACUGGCAGGCUAGAGUAUGGCAGAGGGGGGUAGAAUUCCACGUGUAGCAGUGAAAUGCGUAGAGAUGUGGAGGAAUACCGAUGGCGAAGGCAGCCCCCCUGGGCCAAUACUGACGCUCAUGCACGAAAGCGUGGGGGAGCAAACAGGAUUAGAUACCCUGGUAGUCCACGCCCUAAAACGAUGUCAACUAGUUGUUGGGGGAAUUCAUUUCCUUAGUAACGUAGCUAACGCGUGAAGUUGACCGCCUGGGGAGUACGGUCGCAAGAUUAAAACUUAAAUGAAUUGACGGGGU